This 648-nucleotide long non-coding RNA is filed under the name Mytilus galloprovincialis (Mediterranean mussel). Lineage: Eukaryota; Metazoa; Mollusca; Bivalvia; Mytilida; Mytilidae. The record is from RNAcentral.
CUUUACUCUAAUCAAUCAUAAAAAAGUGUUACAGAAAUUAUAUUCAUUAACAUUUACUUCCUUUCAAAAUUCCUUAAUUGAGUACUGUCACGAUAAACUUCGACUCAUAUCUUAGAAUUAAACAGUUUAUAUCUUGUCCGGACAUUUUUAAAUACCUUCCUCACUAGUUAUAUAGAUUACUAUUACGUGUAAACAUAAUAUAUAAUAUACAAUAUACAUAUCGUUUUCACAACUACAAGGAAUCAUUCUCAAUUAGUGAUAGGGGACGUCUAGAACAUUUUGUGAAGUACUUAGGAAUUAUCUAUAAAGUUGUAAGAGAAAGGUUAAGUUCGAGGAAGAUUCAAAACGGAAAGUCCUUAUAAUCCCAAGAGGUUUCUUUUCAUUUAUGUCCUUUAUCAAACUCCCCGGCAGUUCCAGUUCCGAUCCGCAUACGGGCCCGAAUACUACUCUACACUAAUGGAGUAAAGGAAAACAGUUCCGGAACGGAAACGAUCACUGUCCGGAGUUUGGUCCUUUAUGUUAUGAAUUUCUGUAUACAUGGUAUACGUAGUCAAGCAUUUUACUCUAGUCUUAAUAAUUCAAGUUCACGAGUUAUUAACUCCUGAUCAUCAUUUCAAAGUUAAUACUCCUAUGUUUCUCUUAUUCGCU